This 506-nucleotide ribosomal RNA is filed under the name uncultured bacterium. RNAcentral describes it as "partial 16S ribosomal RNA". It matches the Rfam family "Bacterial small subunit ribosomal RNA", at positions 29 to 523 of the family's 1533-position model. The record is from RNAcentral.
AGUGAACGCUGGCGGUAGGCCUAACACAUGCAAGUCGAACGGCAGCACAGGAGAGCUUGCUCUCUGGGUGGCGAGUGGCGGACGGGUGAGGAAUACAUCGGAAUCUACUCUGUCGUGGGGGAUAACGUAGGGAAACUUACGCUAAUACCGCAUACGACCUACGGGUGAAAGCAGGGGAUCUUCGGACCUUGCGCGAUUGAAUGAGCCGAUGUCGGAUUAGCUAGUUGGCGGGGUAAAAGCCCACCAAGGCGACGAUCCGUAGCUGGUCUGAGAGGAUGAUCAGCCACACUGGAACUGAGACACGGUCCAGACUCCUACGGGAGGCAGCAGUGGGGAAUAUUGGACAAUGGGCGCAAGCCUGAUCCAGCCAUACCGCGUGGGUGAAGAAGGCCUUCGGGUUGUAAAGCCCUUUUGUUGGGAAAGAAAUCCAGCUGGCUAAUACCCGGUUGGGAUGACGGUACCCAAAGAAUAAGCACCGGCUAACUUCGUGCCAGCAGCCGCUGUAA